This 253-nucleotide ribosomal RNA is filed under the name uncultured bacterium. Its description in RNAcentral is "partial 16S ribosomal RNA". It matches the Rfam family "Bacterial small subunit ribosomal RNA", at positions 524 to 776 of the family's 1533-position model. The record is from RNAcentral.
UACAGAGGGGGCAAGCGUUGUUCGGAAUUACUGGGCGUAAAGGGCGCGUAGGCGGCCUUCUAAGUCAUGCGUGAAAUCCCCGGGCUCAACCCGGGAACUGCGUCUGAUACUGGAAGGCUUGAAUCCGGGAGAGGGAUGUGGAAUUCCAGGUGUAGCGGUGAAAUGCGUAGAUAUCUGGAGGAACACCGGUGGCGAAAGCGACUCACUGGCCCGACACUGACACUGAGGUGCGAAAGCUAGGGUAGCAAACGGG